CUCUAGGUGGUGCCGUAAUGCCAGUGUGCUUUUCUUUGCAGAGUGGCUCUCCAGUCAGGGAAGAUGGUCUUCUGCGGGAAGCACUGAAGGAUGAACCGAUAGAGACGAGCAGAACGCAGAUUUCAUUAUUCGGUGGUUUUGGUCCUCGGUGUGCUACUGGACCAGAUCACUGGAGCCGCUUCCCCGGAGGCCAAAUCCAGCAGAUUUAUGACCGGACGUCUCCCCACAUGAAGGCUCUCUUCUUUUGUUUUUUUCCUCCUCUUUUUUUUUUGUAAAUUCCACUUCAUUUUUAAUCUGCACUUGGACUCCUUUCUGAGACACUGAAUGUUUUUGUGAGUGUAAAAUCUUGCUUUACUUGCAGCGCAGUGAACCAAUAGAUCUGUGGCAGCGAAUAAAGGUUUCAUUUAUCCCCU
Electrophorus electricus (electric eel) is the source of this 413-nucleotide long non-coding RNA. Lineage: Eukaryota; Metazoa; Chordata; Actinopteri; Gymnotiformes; Gymnotidae. The record is from Ensembl.